UCAGGAUGAACGCUAGCUACAGGCUUAACACAUGACAAGUCGAGGGGCAGCAGUUGGGAUAGCUUGCUAUUCAGAUGGCGACCGGCGCACGGGUGAGUAACGCGUAUCCAACCUUCCGUGCCAGUAGGGAACACGCCCGGCGAAAGUCGGAUUAAUGCCCUAUGUUCUUCAAUGCGGACAUCUAAGUUGAAGGAAAGAUUCAUCGCUGGCAGAUGGGGAUGCGUCCGAUUAGCUUGCCGGCGGGGUAACGGCCCACCGGGGCGACGAUCGGUAGGGGUUCUGAGAGGAAGGUCCCCCACACUGGUACUGAGACACGGACCAGACUCCUAUGGGAGGCAGCAGUGAGGAAUAUUGGUCAAUGGGCGUAAGCCUGAACCAGCCAAGUAGCGUGCAGGAAUGACGGCCCUACGGGUUGUAAACUGCUUUUAUGCGGGGAUAAAGUGCGGCACGUGUGCCGCUUUGCAGGUACCGCAUGAAUAAGGACCGGCUAAUUCCGUGCCAGCAGCCGC
RNAcentral lists this ribosomal RNA (509 nucleotides) under uncultured bacterium. RNAcentral's name for it is "bacterial SSU rRNA". It matches the Rfam family "Bacterial small subunit ribosomal RNA", at positions 24 to 518 of the family's 1533-position model. The record is from RNAcentral.